UACGUAGGUGGCAAGCGUUGUCCGGAUUUACUGGGCGUAAAGAGCGCGCCGGCGGUCGUGCAAGUCGCGUGUGAAAGCCCCCGGCUCAACUGGGGAGGGUCACGCGAUACUGCUCGACUCGAAGGCAGGAGAGGGAAGUGGAAUUCCCGGUGUAGUGGUGAAAUGCGUAGAUAUCGGGAGGAACACCAGUGGCGAAGGCGACUUCCUGGCCUGUUCUUGACGCUGAGGCGCGAAAGCUAGGGUAGCAAACGGG
RNAcentral lists this ribosomal RNA (253 nucleotides) under uncultured bacterium. RNAcentral's name for it is "partial 16S ribosomal RNA". It matches the Rfam family "Bacterial small subunit ribosomal RNA", at positions 524 to 776 of the family's 1533-position model. The record is from RNAcentral.